AUCGCUUCUCGGCCUUUUGGCUAAGAUCAUUUGUAGUUUCUGUUCUUAUCAGCUUAAUAUCUGAUACGGGCCUAAUUGGUCCAAGAUAUUAAACUUAUUUUUGCAAUAGGCCAUAUGCGAAAUUUA
Molecule: small nuclear RNA, 126 nt
Filed under: Ixodes scapularis (black-legged tick)
Lineage: Eukaryota; Metazoa; Arthropoda; Arachnida; Ixodida; Ixodidae
Description: U2 spliceosomal RNA
Rfam family: U2 spliceosomal RNA
About the family: U2 is a small nuclear RNA (snRNA) component of the spliceosome (involved in pre-mRNA splicing). Complementary binding between U2 snRNA (in an area lying towards the 5' end but 3' to hairpin I) and the branchpoint sequence (BPS) of the intron results the bulging out of an unpaired adenosine, on the BPS, which initiates a nucleophilic attack at the intronic 5' splice site, thus starting the first of two transesterification reactions that mediate splicing.
Source: Rfam by way of RNAcentral